UCGGGGCUGUAGACGGUGACGUUGGCGGCCCGCGCCAUCGCCUUCGCCUCCGCCUGCAUGUCGCCCGCGCGGUCUGCAACGGAUGUGGAGGGAGAGGCGGAGGUGAGUUGGAUCGCGUACUCUCCGUCGCCGCCGCUACCCGGAGCCGCCACGGGCCGCGCCUGCACGAGGGCGGCGCGGGGGAGGAGAAGACGGCGGGGAGGGACGGAGGACCUCGGCGGUGAGGGGCGGAGCCGCGGCGGCGGCGAGAUAGUGAGGGCGGCCGCCAUCGCCACAGAUGAUUCGCUUGGCGGGGAGGGGGCUGCGUGUGCAAGUAGCGGAGCGAGCUCUGGUCGUUGUGGCCACUGGUUGUGGGGCGCGG
RNAcentral lists this unclassified non-coding RNA (361 nucleotides) under Hevea brasiliensis (rubber tree). Lineage: Eukaryota; Viridiplantae; Streptophyta; Magnoliopsida; Malpighiales; Euphorbiaceae. The record is from RNAcentral.